GAUGAACGCUGGCGGCGUGCCUAAUACAUGCAAGUCGAGCGAACGGACGAGAAGCUUGCUUUUCUGAUGUUAGCGGCGGACGGGUGAGUAACACGUGGAUAACCUACCUAUAAGACUGGGAUAACUUCGGGAAACCGGAGCUAAUACCGGAUAAUAUUUUGAACCGCAUGGUUCAAAAGUGAAAGACGGUCUUGCUGUCACUUAUAGAUGGAUCCGCGCUGCAUUAGCUAGUUGGUAAGGUAACGGCUUACCAAGGCAACGAUGCAUAGCCGACCUGAGAGGGUGAUCGGCCACACUGGAACUGAGACACGGUCCAGACGCCUACGGGAGGCAGCAGUAGGGAAUCUGCCGCAAUGGGCGAAAGCCUGACGGAGCAACGCCGCGUGAGUGAUGAAGGUCUUCGGAUCGUAAAACUCUGUUAUUAGGGAAGAACAUAUGUGUAAGUAACUGUGCACAUCUUGACGGUACCUAAUCAGAAAGCCACGGCUAACUACGUG
RNAcentral lists this ribosomal RNA (497 nucleotides) under uncultured bacterium. RNAcentral's name for it is "partial 16S ribosomal RNA". It matches the Rfam family "Bacterial small subunit ribosomal RNA", at positions 28 to 507 of the family's 1533-position model. The record is from RNAcentral.